AUGAACCUGAAGAUCCAUGCUCAGCUUGCUAGGCUUCCGCAUACCAAUGUAAUAAGGUUACUGGGGUGGUGCAUACAUGGAGAAGAAAGGAUUCUAAUCUACAAGUUCAUGCACAAUGGUGCCUUGGACCAUCACAUAUUUGAUGUGUGGUUGGCAGCAGGAGACGAAGCAGUGGGAGCAUGGAGACGCCUGUGGGAGCACUGGGCUUUAUCUUUUCAACUGCAGAUGCCACAACAUGGGGAGGUGGGAUGCUGUACCACUGGAGAUACCAAGAGAGGAGCACAGCGUCCCUCUGAGCAUCCGGCCAUUUGCCUGUGCCCAAGUAACGGACAAAGUUGGCCUUGA
Molecule: ribosomal RNA, 345 nt
Filed under: Triticum aestivum (bread wheat)
Lineage: Eukaryota; Viridiplantae; Streptophyta; Magnoliopsida; Poales; Poaceae
Description: partial small subunit ribosomal RNA
Source: RNAcentral